This 120-nucleotide small RNA is filed under the name Marmota monax (woodchuck). The record is from RNAcentral. Lineage: Eukaryota; Metazoa; Chordata; Mammalia; Rodentia; Sciuridae.
GCCGGGCGUGUUGGUGCACGCCUGUAAUCCCUGCAGCUUGGGAAGCUGAGGCAGGAGGAUUGCUAGUUAGCACCUCAGCAAAAGUGAGGUGCUAAGCAACCCAGCAAGACCCUUUUUCUA